UACGAAGGGUGCAAGCGUUACUCGGAAUUACUGGGCGUAAAGCGUGCGUAGGUGGUUCGUUAAGUCUGUCGUGAAAGCCCCGGGCUCAACCUGGGAAUGGCGAUGGAUACUGGCGGGCUAGAGUGCGGUAGAGGAGAGUGGAAUUCCCGGGUGUAGCAGUGAAAUGCGUAGAUAUCGAGAGGAACACCAGUGGCGAAGGCGAGUCCCUGGACAACACCUGACACUGAGGCACGAAAGCUAGGGGAGCAAACAGG
RNAcentral lists this ribosomal RNA (254 nucleotides) under uncultured bacterium. RNAcentral describes it as "partial 16S ribosomal RNA". It matches the Rfam family "Bacterial small subunit ribosomal RNA", at positions 524 to 776 of the family's 1533-position model. The record is from RNAcentral.